AGAGUUUGAUCAUGGCUCAGAUUGAACGCUGGCGGCAUGCUUUACACAUGCAAGUCGAACGGCAGCACGGGGGCAACCCUGGUGGCGAGUGGCGAACGGGUGAGGAAUGCACCGGAACGUAUCUUCAAGUGGGGGAUAACGCAUCGAAAGGUGUGCUAAUACCGCAUAAUCUCUGAGGAGAAAAGCAGGGGAUCGCAAGACCUUGCGCUUUUGGAGCGGCCGAUGCCUGAUUAGCUUGUUGGUGAGGUAAAAGCUCACCAAGGCUCCGAUCAGUAGCUGGUCUGAGAGGACGACCAGCCACACUGGGACUGAGACACGGCCAGACUCCUACGGGAGGCAGCAUUGGGGAAUUUUGGACAAUGGGGGCAACCCUGAUCCAGCCAUGCCGCGUGAGUGAAGAAGGCCUUCGGGUUGUAAAGCUCUUUCAGCCGGAACGAAACGGUCACGGUUAAUACCCGUGACUACUGACGGUACCGGAAGAAGAAGCACCGGCUAACUACGUGCCAGCAGCCGCGGUAAUACGUAGGGUGCGAGCGUUAAUCGGAAUUACUGGGCGUAAAGCGUGCGCAGGUGGUUUUGUAAGUCAGAUGUGAAAUCCCCGGGCUUAACCUGGGAACUGCGUUUGAAACUGCAAGGCUAGAGUGUGGCAGAGGGGGGUGGAAUUCCGCGUGUAGCAGUGAAAUGCGUAGAUAUGUGGAGGAACACCGAUGGCGAAGGCAGCCCCCUGGGUCAACACUGACGCUCAGGCACGAAAGCAUGGGGAGCAAACAGGAUUAGAUACCCUGGUAGUCCAUGCCCUAAACGAUGUCAACUAGUUGUCGGGUCUUAACGGGCUUGGUAACGUAGCUAACGCGUGAAGUUGACCGCCUGGGGAGUACGAUCGCAAGAUUAAAACUCAAAGGAA
This 904-nucleotide ribosomal RNA is filed under the name uncultured bacterium. Its description in RNAcentral is "bacterial SSU rRNA". It matches the Rfam family "Bacterial small subunit ribosomal RNA", at positions 8 to 909 of the family's 1533-position model. The record is from RNAcentral.